GAGGUUUCUAUAGUCAAGCGCGCAAAAUUUAUAUUUUCUUUAAAAAAAAUAUUGAAGUGGCCAUAAGGUCCCAAGUGUUCGUAUAUAGAUCAAAAUAAUAUGAAAAUUAACACAAAAAAUAAAUGUAGUCUCCGUAAAAUGUUACACAUCUUUCAAUAAAUGAGUUUCUCAUGGCCAGUACCAAGAGGUAUUGCAGUAUCUCUUCAUCAUUCCCUGACCUAUCUUUAAAGGCAAAAAUCUCC
This 242-nucleotide long non-coding RNA is filed under the name Panax ginseng (ginseng). RNAcentral describes it as "long non-coding RNA (PGIN_LNC003806)". Lineage: Eukaryota; Viridiplantae; Streptophyta; Magnoliopsida; Apiales; Araliaceae. The record is from RNAcentral.